UACGGAGGAGGCAAGCGUUAUCCGGUAUUAUUGGGCGUAAAGCGUCCGUAGGUGGCCAUUCAAGUCUGCUGUCACAGCAUGGAGCUUAACUCCAUAGAGGCAGUGGAAACUGAAUAGCUAGAGUUCGGUAGGGGUAGCGGGAAUUCCCAGUGUAGCGGUGAAAUGCGUAGAGAUUGGGAAGAACAUCGGUGGCGAAAGCGCGCUACUGGGCCGAAACUGACACUGUGGGACGAAAGCUAGGGGAGCGAAAGGG
This 253-nucleotide ribosomal RNA is filed under the name uncultured bacterium. Its description in RNAcentral is "partial 16S ribosomal RNA". It matches the Rfam family "Bacterial small subunit ribosomal RNA", at positions 524 to 776 of the family's 1533-position model. The record is from RNAcentral.